This 67-nucleotide microRNA precursor is filed under the name Bombyx mori (domestic silkworm). Its description in RNAcentral is "mir-2774 microRNA precursor family". It matches the Rfam family "mir-2774 microRNA precursor family". Lineage: Eukaryota; Metazoa; Arthropoda; Insecta; Lepidoptera; Bombycidae. The record is from Rfam by way of RNAcentral.
AUAAGUUUCAAACCGUCGGUCUACCGAGCAAUAUCACCCACUCAGUGGAAGAAAUUCCCUUUAUCGU